GACAGAGGGUGCAAACGUUGUUCGGAAUUACUGGGCGUAAAGGGCGCGUAGGCGGCCUUCUAAGUCGAACGUGAAAUCCCCGGGCUCAACCCGGGAACUGCGUCCGAUACUGGAAGGCUUGAAUCCGGGAGAGGGAUGCGGAAUUCCAGGUGUAGCGGUGAAAUGCGUAGAUAUCUGGAGGAACACCGGUGGCGAAGGCGGCAUCCUGGACCGGUAUUGACGCUGAGGCGCGAAAGCCAGGGGAGCAAACGGG
This 253-nucleotide ribosomal RNA is filed under the name uncultured bacterium. RNAcentral describes it as "partial 16S ribosomal RNA". It matches the Rfam family "Bacterial small subunit ribosomal RNA", at positions 524 to 776 of the family's 1533-position model. The record is from RNAcentral.